CGUGGCGUGAGUCGUCUGCUUAAUUGCGAUAACGAGCGAGACUCCGAUUGUUAAAUAGCUGGCAGUUUACUUCGACUGUACAGCUUCUUAACGAGAUUCGCGUCUUCAAGGCGCAAGAAAUGGAGCAAUAACAGGUCUGUGAUGCCCUUAGAUGUCCGGGGCAGCACGCGUGCUACAAUGGUGGUAACAGCGUGAUUGUCCUCGCCCGAGAGGGCUUGGCAAACAGUUGAGAUAUUAUUAUGGCUGGAAUUGAGUGUUGAAAUUUUCUCUCAUGAACGAGGAAUUCCAAGUAAAUGCGAGUCAUCAACUUGCAUUGAAUACGUCCCUGCCCUUUGUAC
This 338-nucleotide ribosomal RNA is filed under the name Nematoda environmental sample. RNAcentral's name for it is "bacterial SSU rRNA". It matches the Rfam family "Eukaryotic small subunit ribosomal RNA", at positions 1300 to 1665 of the family's 1831-position model. Lineage: Eukaryota; Metazoa; Nematoda. The record is from RNAcentral.